AUACGUAUGUGGCAAGCGUUAUCCGGAAUUAUUGGGCGUAAAGAGGGAGCAGGAGGCAGCAAGGGUCUGUGGUGAAAGCCUGAAGCUUAACUUCAGUAAGCCAUAGAAACCAGGCAGCUAGAGUGCAGGAGAGGAUCGUGGAAUUCCAUGUGUAGCGGUGAAAUGCGUAGAUAUAUGGAGGAACACCAUUGGCGAAGGCGACGAUCUGCACUACAACUUACGCUCAGUCUCGAAAGAGUGGGGAGUAAAGAUGUUGAGAUACCCUAGUGGUCCACGCCGUAAACGAUGAGUACUAAGUGUUGGAUGUCAAAGUUCAGUGCUGCAGUUAACGCAAUAAGUACUCCGCCUGAGUAGUACGUUCGCAAGAAUGAAACUCAAAUGAAUUGGCGGGG
RNAcentral lists this ribosomal RNA (392 nucleotides) under uncultured bacterium. RNAcentral's name for it is "partial 16S ribosomal RNA". It matches the Rfam family "Bacterial small subunit ribosomal RNA", at positions 523 to 918 of the family's 1533-position model. The record is from RNAcentral.